RNAcentral lists this long non-coding RNA (560 nucleotides) under Olea europaea subsp. europaea. The record is from RNAcentral. Lineage: Eukaryota; Viridiplantae; Streptophyta; Magnoliopsida; Lamiales; Oleaceae.
UCAAUAAUCAAAAGAUUCGAACUUCAUACGAAAAAAAUAACUAGCUAAAAUUCCAAAUUCCUUACCUUGACUAAUCCCCCUAACUGUCUCAUAUCAAAGAAUAGAAAUAAGGCAAGAUGAUAUGUCAAAUGAAACCCUACCAGAGACAAGUCGAAAGGCUUACCAACAAUUUGAUGGAGGAAAGCGGAAGUAGAGGAUAAAUGGAGGGGAGACGAGACGGAUUUGGUCGGAUUAUCGCAAGAAUCGAUGCCGUUAAUUGGAUUGCUGCUUAAGUAAGCGGCAGCCGGAGAUAGUUGAGCCGACCGCCAUGAGAGAGAAGUCAACUUCCUUCCAGCCACUCUCAACAUCUUCGAUUGUUCUGAGAGUACUCUAGGGUCCCGCUCUGCUCAGAACGUGUUGAAGCUCGGACAAAAGGAUUUAGGAUUCGACUGCGAACGACAAAUAAUUAAGAGAAAAUUUAUAGUGUAGACCAUCAAUUUAAUAAAGUUGUCCAAACGGGUUAUAAACUUCUCUUUCACAGUUUAUUCGUCCUCAAUCUUCUAAGUGUAUAACAAAUUAAU